GGCAGAAUACUUUCGCAAGGCACUGUAAAUCUCUCUUCUUCCUCUGCACUUCUUUGAGAGCUGUCGUCAAGACUUUUACCCUGAACCUUGACUUCCCAGGUUGAUAGGAUGAAGUCCAGGUUUUUCUACAUCAUGGUUCUGCUCACAGGAGGUCUCGCUAUGAACGAAGGAAAAAACGAUUUGUGCUCCAACUACACUCAGUUCUGUCUUAUGUUCCGUCUGUCGUCGAUGUGGAUGGUGCAAGAUGCUGGAUGGAAGUUAUCAAUGAGCAGUUUAAGACGGAGAACCUCAGCACUAUUUUCAAAUCUGUGGAGAAACGAGAAAGGGUUCUUGGAAACACAGCAUUGAAUGAGACGACUUCAAUCAUUGUUGAGAGGCUUGUGGCCCAGAUAUUCAGGGCCGAGGGCAGGUUUACUGGGCUAAAUAUAUCUGCCACUCGAGAAGGGGCAAGAUGACAGUGAUCCACAAUGCAAUAAUUGAGGAAGUUUAGACACAGUUUUUUGAAAACCAUGUGCAGUUUGGCAUUUAUUGGGAAUGGGAUGAAUGUUGUCCUGGAGGCAGUUCCGCAGAGUGGUCACUAGCUGCCUUAGCCACACAAAGUUAUAAAAUCUGACUUUAAGCCUCCCUAAUAUUAACCCAAACCUUAACCACACUGCUAACCGUAUGCCCUAACCUUAAAUUUGUUUUUAUAAAACAUUUUACGAUAUAGCCAAUUUGACUUUGCGGCUGGCCCAUCUAGCGGAAAGCGCCCAGCUCGGCCUCCGUGACAAGAUUCAUCUCAAAUAAACUUCAAACCUGCAAACUGCGUCACAUGCAAAUACAGUUGAAGUCGGAGGUUUACAUACACUUAGGUUGGAGUCAUUAAAACUAGUUUUUCAACCACUCCACAAAUGUCUUGUUAUCAAACUAUAGUUUUGGCAAGUUGGUUAGGAUAUCUACUUUGUGCAUGACACAAGUCAUUUUUCCAACAAUUGUUUACAGACAGAUUAUUUCACUUAUAAUUCACUGUAUCACAAUUCCAGUGGGUCAGAGUUGACUGUGCCUUUAAAAACAGCUUGGAAAAUUCCAGAAAAUUAUGUCAUGGCUUUAGAAGCUUCUGUUAGGCUAAUUGACAUCAUUUAAGUCAAAUGGAGGUGUACCUGUGGAUGUAUUUCAAGGCCUACCUUUCAAACUCAGUGUCUCUUUGCUUGACAUCAUGGGAAAAUUAAAAGAAAUCUGCCAAGACCUCAGGAAAAAUAAUUGUAGACCUUCACAAGUCUGGUUCAUCCUUGGGAGCAAUUUCCAAGCGCCUGAAGGCACAACGUUCAUCUGUACAAGAAAUAGUGCGCAAGUAUUAACACUUUGGGACCACACAGGCGUCAUACCACUCAGGAAGGAGACGCGUUCUGUCUCCUAGAGAUGAAUGUACUUUGGUGCGAAAAGUGCAAAUCAAUCCCAGAACAACAGCAAAAGACCUUGUGAAGAUGCUGAAGGAAACAGAUACAAAAGUAUAUCCACACUAAAAGUCCUAUAUCGAUAUAACCUGAAAGGCCGCUCAGCAAGGAAGAAGCCACUGCUCCAAAACCGCCAUAAAAAAGCCAGACUACGGGUUGUAACUGCACAUGGGGACAAAGAUCGUACUUUUUGGAGAAAUGUCCUCUGGUCUGAUGAAACCAAAAUAUAACUGUUUGGGCAUAACGACCAUCGUUAUGUUUGGAGGAAAAACGGGGAGGUUUGCAAGCCGAAGAACACCAUCCCAACCGUGAAGCACGGAGGUGGCAGCAUCAUGUUGUGGGGGUGCUUUGUUGCAGGAGGGACUGGUGCACUUCACAAAAUAGAUGGCAUCAUGAGGGGGAAAAUGAUGUGGCUAUAUUGAGGCACCAUCUCAAAACAGGAAGUUAAAGCUUAUGUCACGCUCUGACCUUAGUUCUUUGUGAUGUCUUUGUUUUAGUAUGGUCAGGGCAUGAGUUGGGUGGGCAGUCUAUGUUCUUUUUUCUAUGAUUUGGUAUUUCUGUGUUUGGCUUGGUAUGGUUCUCAAUCAGAGGCAGCUGUCAAUCGUUGUCCCUGAUUGAGAACCAUACUUAGGCAUCCUGUUUUCACCCUUGAGUGGUGGGUGAUUAUACUUUCUGUUUAGUGUGUGUUGCACCUGACGGAGCUGUUUCGGUUGUGCUUUUUGUUUCUUUGUUAGAUGUUGUUCAGUUUUAAAUAAAUAACAUGAACAAGUACCACGCUGCGCUUUGGUCCUCACCUUCUUCCACCGACAACCGUUACAGCUUGGCCCAAA
This is a long non-coding RNA of Oncorhynchus keta (chum salmon), 2263 nucleotides long. RefSeq lists it as uncharacterized. The transcript is spliced from 4 exons. The record is from RefSeq and is a predicted model, not a curated record. Lineage: Eukaryota; Metazoa; Chordata; Actinopteri; Salmoniformes; Salmonidae.